This 490-nucleotide ribosomal RNA is filed under the name uncultured bacterium. RNAcentral describes it as "partial 16S ribosomal RNA". It matches the Rfam family "Bacterial small subunit ribosomal RNA", at positions 28 to 507 of the family's 1533-position model. The record is from RNAcentral.
GAUGAACGCUAGCUACAGGCUUAACACAUGCAAGUCGCGGGGCAGCAUGGGGGUUGCUUGCAAUCCCCGAUGGCGACCGGCGCACGGGUGAGUAACGCGUAUCCAACCUGCCCUUCACCACGGGAUAACCCGGCGAAAGUCGGACUAAUACCGUAUGUUGUCCAUUGACGGCAUCCGAUUUGGACGAAAGGCUUGGCGGUGGGGGGUGGGGAUGCGUCCGAUUAGCCAGACGGCGGGGUAACGGCCCACCGUGGCUACGAUCGGUAGGGGUUCUGAGAGGAAGGUCCCCCACACUGGAACUGAGACACGGUCCAGACUCCUACGGGAGGCAGCAGUGAGGAAUAUUGGUCAAUGGGCGUAAGCCUGAACCAGCCAAGUAGCGUGCAGGAUGACGGCCCUAUGGGUUGUAAACUGCUUUUAUGCGGGGAUAAAGUGGCCCACGUGUGGGCUUUUGCAGGUACCGCAUGAAUAAGGACCGGCUAAUUCCGUG